CUUUAUGAUACUGUCUUCAUUUUAAANAAGCUAGAAGGUCUUGGACUUUGACUGAAUCUCAAAGUCAGUGACCUUUCUCUCCCUGAAUUCCUGAACCCAGAUCCUCCCAAACCCCAGUCAGUGGACAAGGACUUUGAGAGACAAGCAGUCUACAAAGAAGAUCUCUACAACUCCCUUUGAACCUUGAACUCGAGGACACUUGCUGUGCCAGCCAAGAAACCAGGUUCCUCUACUCUGAACCCCCCAGGGGUUCAGUUACCAGAGCUGAGCUGUCUAACUUUGGGGGGAAAGGGUAUUCAUUAGACAGGGACUCCCUCUCCCUCUUUCCCUCCUGAAUCUCAAUCAUUACCCUUCAUCAGCCCUGUCCCUUUCCUGCUUCCCUUGAUAAACUCAGCUAUUAGGACUCAGAACUGACUCCAGCAUUAUUAGAAGACAGUCUGAUUUGAGGGGGGAGAGAAGUGGUCUCUCUUCCCAGAAGAAGGAGACUUAUCACCUGAAACCUCUUUCAACAAAGGUCCCAGAGAGCCUGGAAGUGGGGAGUUGAAGGCAGCCAUAGUGAGGGGGUCUAGUCAGAGAGGGCUGAGGGGGGAAAGACAAAAUCCAUCCUGUUUGCCUCCUCUGUCUAAACAACAACACCUCCUCUCACUUUGUUCCUGCCUAGAAGAAAGUAGACUCCAUUACCUUUUCACCCUCUCUUCCUUAUUAUAAAUCUCUCCCCUUUUUCUCCCUUUAUUACAAUGGAUUUGACAAAUAUAAGAAUUUUAAAAUUUUGUGGUUGCCAUUUAUAACAAAUUUUGUCACGAGACUGUUAGUAGCUUUAGUAACUUUAUUACAGCAAAAUAGUGAUAGUAAGAGAGGGAAAUGUGGGAAGGAGGUAAAAAAUAUUGUCUAGCUAAAAAUACCCUAAGACCUGGUCUGUAUGCCUCCAGACCACAAAUGCAAAUCCAAAUGCAAAUCUCAGUAGCUCAGGAGAGUAUUUCCAGCCAGGUGUUUCAACAACCAAAGACCAACUCCAAAGAGGCUGAGCCACAAAAGAGCAAUCUCUUACACCAAGGAGCUUUAGGGUUGUGGCAUGAUGAAAGCUGGCCUAUGAAAUGGAUUUCUCUGGUUAGACCUGGAAGCCUGUUAAAUGAAAUGGAUGCUGUAGUGAGCAAUGAGAAGUCCCACUGCAUAAACUUCAUAUCUUCUAACUAAACCUGAAUUAUGAAGACAGCUUUAUUUCAAAUAUUGAAACUUCACAGAGGAGAGAGAAAGGAAGAAGGAACGGAAGAGGAAAUGAGCUUUUUUUUAACCCUUACUUUCUAUCUUAGAAUCAAUACUGUUUGGGUUUGCAAAGCAGAAGAGUGGUAAGGGCUAGGCAAUUGGUAUUAAGUGAUUUGCCCAGGGUCACACAGCUAGGAAGUAACUGAGGCCAAAUUUAAACCAAAGAUAUAGGGUCACGGAGCCUGACUUUCUACCCCUGAGUCACCUACCUGGCCCCUGGGACAAACAUUUAUUAAGCACCUACUAUGUUCCAGGCACUGUGCUAAGUGCAUUACAAAUAUGACUUUAUUUGAUCCUCCCAAGAGCUCUGAGAGAUAGGUUCUGGUAUUAUCUUCCUUUUACAGUGGAGGAAACUGAGGCAGAUGGUGAUUAAGUGGCAUAGGUCAUAUGGCUAAUAAGAGUCUGAGGCAGGAUUUUGUUACAAUUAAAAUUAUCUCCAGAGACUGCUUUGAGGGUAAAAAUAGGUUUAUUGAUUAUAUCAGGUGUAAUGGUUAGGCAACAUCAUAACGGGCAGAGCGAUAUAAUGGGUCUCCAUGGCUCUCUCACAACCAGAGUCAACAGGAACUGGGUCAAGUAGCCUAAUAAAUAGAUUUUUAGGAGCUCA
This 1867-nucleotide long non-coding RNA is filed under the name Monodelphis domestica (gray short-tailed opossum). RNAcentral describes it as "lncRNA (ENSMODG00000046031.1)". The record is from RNAcentral. Lineage: Eukaryota; Metazoa; Chordata; Mammalia; Didelphimorphia; Didelphidae.